GAUGAACGCUGGCGGUGUGCCUAAUACAUGCAAGUCGAGCGAACAGACGAGGAGCUUACUCCUCUGACGUUAGCGGCGGACGGGUGAGUAACACGUGGAUAACCUACCUAUAAGACUGGGAUAACUUCGGGAAACCGGAGCUAAUACCGGAUAACAUGUUGAACCGCGUGGUUCAACAGUGAAAGACGGUCUUGCUGUCACUUAUAGAUGGAUCCGCGUCGCAUUAGCUAGUUGGUAAGGUAACGGCUUACCAAGGCAACGAUGCGUAGCCGACCUGAGAGGGUGAUCGGCCACACUGGAACUGAGACACGGUCCAGACUCCUACGGGAGGCAGCAGUAGGGAAUCUUCCGCAAUGGGCGAAAGCCUGACGGAGCAACGCCGCGUGAGUGAAGAAGGUCUUCGGAUCGUAAAACUCUGUUAUUAGGGAAGAACAAAUGUGUAAGUAACUAUGCACGUCUUGACGGUACCUAAUCAGAAAGCCACGGCUAACUACGUG
RNAcentral lists this ribosomal RNA (497 nucleotides) under uncultured bacterium. Its description in RNAcentral is "partial 16S ribosomal RNA". It matches the Rfam family "Bacterial small subunit ribosomal RNA", at positions 28 to 507 of the family's 1533-position model. The record is from RNAcentral.